GAUGAACGCUGGCGGCGUGCCUAAUACAUGCAAGUCGAGCGAACAGAUUAGGAGCUUGCUCCUCUGACGUUAGCGGCGGACGGGUGAGUAACACGUGGAUAACCUACCUAUAAGACUGGGAUAACUUCGGGAAACCGGAGCUAAUACCGGAUAAUAUAUUGAACCGCAUGGUUCAAUAGUGAAAGACGGUUUUGCUGUCACUUAUAGAUGUAUCCGCGCCGCAUUAGCUAGUUGGUAAGGUAACGGCUUACCAAGGCAACGAUGCGUAGCCGACCUGAGAGGGUGAUCGGCCACACUGGAAUUGAGACACGGUCCAGACUCCUACGGGAGGCAGCAGUAGGGAAUCUCCCGCAAUGGGCGAAAGCCUGACGGAGCAACGCCGAGUGAGUGAUGAAGGUCUUCGGAUCGUAAAACUCUGUUAUUAGGGAAGAACAAAUGUGUAAGUAACUAUGCACGUCUUGACGGUACCUACUCAGAAAGCCACGGCUAACUACGUG
Molecule: ribosomal RNA, 497 nt
Filed under: uncultured bacterium
Lineage: Bacteria
Description: partial 16S ribosomal RNA
Rfam family: Bacterial small subunit ribosomal RNA
Source: RNAcentral